UACGGAGGGAGCUAGCGUUAUUCGGAAUUACUGGGCGUAAAGCGCACGUAGGCGGCUUUGUAAGUAAGAGGUGAAAGCCUGGAGCUCAACUCCAGAAUUGCCUUUUAGACUGCAUCGCUUGAAUCAUGGAGAGGUGAGUGGAAUUCCGAGUGUAGAGGUGAAAUUCGUAGAUAUUCGGAGGAACACCAGUGGCGAAGGCGGCUCACUGGUCCAUUACUGACGCUGAGGUGCGAAAGCGUGGGGAGCAAACAGG
This 253-nucleotide ribosomal RNA is filed under the name uncultured bacterium. Its description in RNAcentral is "partial 16S ribosomal RNA". It matches the Rfam family "Bacterial small subunit ribosomal RNA", at positions 524 to 776 of the family's 1533-position model. The record is from RNAcentral.